UACGUAGGUGGCAAGCGUUGUCCGGAUUUAUUGGGCGUAAAGCGCCCGCAGGCGGCUCGGUAAGUUUCAGGUGAAAUCUCCCGGCUCAACUGGGAGGGGUCCUGGAAAACUAUCGGGCUUGAGGCAGGGAGGGGGAUGCGGAAUUCCAGGUGUAGCGGUGAAAUGCGUAGAUAUCUGGAGGAACAUCAGCGGCGAAGGCGGCAUCCUGGCCCUGUCCUGACGCUCAGGGGCGAAAGCGUGGGGAGCAAACCGG
RNAcentral lists this ribosomal RNA (253 nucleotides) under uncultured bacterium. RNAcentral describes it as "partial 16S ribosomal RNA". It matches the Rfam family "Bacterial small subunit ribosomal RNA", at positions 524 to 776 of the family's 1533-position model. The record is from RNAcentral.